Molecule: ribosomal RNA, 252 nt
Filed under: uncultured bacterium
Lineage: Bacteria
Description: partial 16S ribosomal RNA
Rfam family: Bacterial small subunit ribosomal RNA
Source: RNAcentral
UACGGGGGGGGCAAGCGUUGUUCGGAAUUACUGGGCGUAAAGGCUCGUAGGCGGCCAACUAAGUCGGAUGUGAAAUCCCCAGGCUUAACCUGGGAACUGCAUCCGAUACUGGAUGGCUUGAAUCCGGGAGAGGGAUGCAGAAUUCCAGGUGUAGCGGUGAAAUGCGUAGAUAUCUGGAGGAAUACCGGUGGCGAAAGCGACUUCCUGGACGAAUACUGACGCUCAUGUGCGAAAGCGUGGGGAGCAAACAGG